UGGACCUGGCUGAUCUGUCCUCCUAAUCGAGCGUACGGAUUCGGUCGGGUCUUUCCUUCUGGGGAACCCUAUGUCCUUCAUUGGGUGUAGUGGGGAACCAGGACUUUUACCUUGAAAAAAUUAGAGUGUUCAAAGCAGGCCUUUGCUCGAAUACAUUAGCAUGGAAUAAUAGAAUAGGACAUCGGUUCUAUUUUGUUGGUUUCUAGGACCGCUGUAAUGAUUAAUAGGGAUAGUCGGGGGCGUCCGUAUUCAAUUGUCAGAGGUGAAAUUCUUGGAUUUAUUGAAGACGAACUACUGCGAAAGCAUUCGCCAAGGAUGUUUUCAUUAAUCAGUGAACGAAAGUUAGGGGAUCGGAGACGAUCAGAUACCGUCGUAGUCUUAACCCUAAACUAUGCCGACUAGGGAUCGGACGGUGGUUUUUUUAUGCCCCGUUCGGCACCU
RNAcentral lists this ribosomal RNA (441 nucleotides) under uncultured Cyphellophora. RNAcentral's name for it is "SSU rRNA". It matches the Rfam family "Eukaryotic small subunit ribosomal RNA", at positions 636 to 1088 of the family's 1831-position model. Lineage: Eukaryota; Fungi; Ascomycota; Eurotiomycetes; Chaetothyriales; Herpotrichiellaceae. The record is from RNAcentral.